This 407-nucleotide ribosomal RNA is filed under the name uncultured bacterium. RNAcentral's name for it is "bacterial SSU rRNA". It matches the Rfam family "Bacterial small subunit ribosomal RNA", at positions 354 to 777 of the family's 1533-position model. The record is from RNAcentral.
GUGGGGAAUAUUGCACAAUGGGGGGAACCCUGAUGCAGCGAUGCCGCGUGGAGGAAGAAGGUUUUCGGAUUGUAAACUCCUGUCGUAAGGGAAGAAAAAGGACGGUACCUUACAAGAAAGCUCCGGCUAACUACGUGCCAGCAGCCGCGGUAAUACGUAGGGAGCGAGCGUUGUCCGGAAUUACUGGGUGUAAAGGGAGCGUAGGCGGGAUUGCAAGUCAGAUGUGAAAACUAUGGGCUUAACCUGUAGACUGCAUUUGAAACUGUAGUUCUUGAGUGAAGUAGAGGUAAGCGGAAUUCCUAGUGUAGCGGUGAAAUGCGUAGAUAUUAGGAGGAACAUCGGUGGCGAAGGCGGCUUACUGGGCUUUUACUGACGCUGAGGCUCGAAAGCGUGGGGAGCAAACAGGA